UGAGGCUGAGUCCUCUCCCUCCAGGUCCUCCUUUGAGGUCCCUCCUCAAACUGGCCCCACUCCCUGACAGGGUUCGAGGCAGUGGCAGCUACUGGUUAACACAGACCAGAUGCAGCCCUUUCCCUGGACAUGCUCAGUGCCCUUUCUCCUCGGAGGCCUUGGGGAUAUUUGAAACUCCAUGGAGUUUGGCUUCAGAGUCCAGAGUGGAAACCACAGCUCCAUGACGCGAGCACAUGUGAUCUCCCUGGGAGGAGAGAGGCCACUGGCCUCAGAGAAGCAGAGGCACGUCGGAGCUGCUGGCUCUGUGGACAACACUCUGCCUUUCCAGUUAGGACGGUGUCUGGGAGGCCAGGGACGGCAAACCCAGAGCCUUCAGUUAGAACCAGAGAGUGACUCUGAGGGCAACAGGCUCUCCAUGCCAGAGGUUGGAGCAAAGGCCCUUUGGAGAGGCAACUUGAACCCCCAAUGAGAGCUGAACAUCCGCUGAGGAGCUGUUCUGUGGCCCCCGCCCCCUCCGUGUGAUGCCUGUUUUGAAAGCUUUGUGUCUGCCAGACAAAUCCUUGAAGAAGAAAAGUUCCAUCGAAAGAGAGCGGUGCCUCCUCCCUCCCACCCUCUGGGCAAACCCAGCAACUAAGUUUGCACGAAUGAGUGGGAAAGUCACUGACAGUCAAGACACCCCAGCUUCCAUCACCGCCUAGUUGGGUAACUUUGGGUCAAUAAGUUAUUAUCUCCAGCCUCAGAUUUCCCACUUGCCCAGUGGAAAUAAUGAGCCUUACCUCAUGGGGAGAUGAGAUGUGCCUCAAAGGGCCUGGCAGAGGCUCAGCGGAGCAAGGCAGUGCUGCUCCCAAAUGACAUUGAUUAAAUCCUCAUUUCCCAUUUCUAAAUCAUCCAAGACCAUCGUAACUGCCCAUCCGCAGUUGGCAAAAAUAAUCGAGACCCCUCCUGGGGGUGGCACCAUCGAGGCUGAGAAGCCAGCUGCUGUGAAAAGAAGCUUGAGACUAGAGAAUGAUGAGGAAUCACAUGGCACUCCGUGAGCCUGGAGACUUGGACUGAGGCAGGCUGGAUGGCUGGAAAAUCCAUGUGAUGGACUGGAUACUCUCCCGGCAAAACUCAUGGCUUACACACCUACAAGGACAAGAAAACUUGGAAGUGGAACCAAAACACUUCAGCAAAGAUUGGCUGACUGCACAGCUGAAGGCCAUGUCAACUCAGGAGCUGCUGACAGCCAGGCUUUCCACAGUGACCAGAGGAGUGUACUGACGGAGCCAGAGGCUGUGAGAGGGGGUCUCAGAGAACAG
Molecule: long non-coding RNA, 1298 nt
Organism: Talpa occidentalis (Iberian mole)
Lineage: Eukaryota; Metazoa; Chordata; Mammalia; Eulipotyphla; Talpidae
Exons: 3
Source: RefSeq, a predicted model, not a curated record